UUGUGUUUAUAGGAUUUGUUAUGCAAAGAAAAUAAAAAUAGCACAAAUGAGUUUUAAAUAAUAAACAGAAAAUUGUGGAACACGGGUGGACCACGAGAAAAAUAAUGGAGAGCAUAAAAUAUAUAUAUAUAUAUAUAUAAUAUAUAUACAUAUAAAUAGAUAUAGAUAUAUAAAUAAUAUAUUUAUAUAUCACAUAUAUAUCUAUAUAUAGAGGGAAUUGGAAGAAUGGUGUGUUAAUUAUAUUAUUAUAUGUAAUAUGUUAAGGUGGAAUGUGGUAGGUGGGCAGUGUGAACGUGGAGGGCAGCCUUGCUGCCAUAAAGAAUACAAGAGCAAUCCGAAUGGGGGAGGAAGUGGAAGGCAGCGUGGCUGCCAAAGAAAGAAAACAGAAAUAAAGGAAUAAAGGUGAGGAGCGCACAGAGAUAUAAGCGAGGUCAGGAGGAAGCCAAAGGGAGCACGGGGAGAGAGCUGCCAUUUGGCAGCUGGGGGGAAGAGAAGUCAGUACGUGCAGGACCACGGGUUGCUGCCUUUGGCAGUUUGGAGCAGUGAAAGGACAGGCGCAAAGAAGGGAAGGCACUGAGCACGUGGAGCGGGAGAAAGGACGGAAAGGGCGGUCUUGAGGUGAGCACGGGAAAAUCAGGAACCAAAGUCAGCACGCUGCCCUUGCAGCUGGAGCAAAACCGUGAGACUAGAGGACUGACGCAAGGGAUGGGCGCUGCCUUGGGCAGCAUGUGUCAGAGGUGCGCAGAAAGAUGAGGAUGCUGCUUGGCAGCGUGUGUGAGCUGGAUGCAGGGCAAGAACGCAGCAAAUUAUUCUCUCUCGGUUAAUCCUCUCCAUACUUAUAUUUUACUGUUGGUUUUAUUUUAAUAAUGUGUAACUAAUUNNNNNN
Molecule: long non-coding RNA, 886 nt
Filed under: Malus domestica (apple)
Lineage: Eukaryota; Viridiplantae; Streptophyta; Magnoliopsida; Rosales; Rosaceae
Description: long non-coding RNA (MDOM_LNC013299)
Source: RNAcentral